GCUCAAAUUUGAAAUCUAGCACUUUCAGUGUUCGAGUUGUAAUUUGAAGAAGGUAACUUUGGAAUUGGCUCUUGUCUAUGUUCCUUGGAACAGGACGUCACAGAGGGUGAGAAUCCCGUGCGAUGAGAUGUCCAAUUCUAUGUAAAGUGCUUUCGAAGAGUCGAGUUGUUUGGGAAUGCAGCUCUAAGUGGGUGGUAAAUUCCAUCUAAAGCUAAAUAUUGGCGAGAGACCGAUAGCGAACAAGUACAGUGAUGGAAAGAUGAAAAGAACUUUGAAAAGAGAGUGAAAAAGUACGUGAAAUUGUUGAAAGGGAAGGGCUUGAGAUCAGACUUGGUAUUUUGUGUUCCUUAUUCUUUUUGGAUUUGGUUCCUCACAGCUUACCGGGCCAGCAUCGGUUUGGAUGGUAGGAUAAUGACAUUGGAAUGUAGCUUUGCUUCGGUGAAGUGUUAUAGACUUUGUUGAUACUGCCUAUCUAGACCGAGGACUGCGUCUUUGACUAGGAUGCUGGCGUAAUGAUCUUAAGCCGCCCGUCUUG
Molecule: ribosomal RNA, 535 nt
Filed under: Yarrowia lipolytica
Lineage: Eukaryota; Fungi; Ascomycota; Dipodascomycetes; Dipodascales
Description: partial large subunit ribosomal RNA
Rfam family: Eukaryotic large subunit ribosomal RNA
Source: RNAcentral